Molecule: non-coding RNA, 236 nt
Organism: Labrus bergylta (ballan wrasse)
Lineage: Eukaryota; Metazoa; Chordata; Actinopteri; Labriformes; Labridae
Source: RefSeq, a predicted model, not a curated record
ACCUGACAACCCGCACACAAGAAGAAACGACUCCUGCCGCUAACAUUGGGGAAAGGCGACCACCUGCUGCCCACAUCUCUCAUACAUUUUUGGAUGCAUUGGCCCUAACAACGCCAUCCCGUUGAGUUUUUAGGUGUACACACCCACCCUCUGCAGACCACACCUCUAGCUCCAGACAGUCUUUCCACACUCCAAAGAAAAUAUAAUGCAGAAGUCAGGACUUUGGUCGACCACAA